This 498-nucleotide ribosomal RNA is filed under the name uncultured bacterium. RNAcentral's name for it is "partial 16S ribosomal RNA". It matches the Rfam family "Bacterial small subunit ribosomal RNA", at positions 28 to 523 of the family's 1533-position model. The record is from RNAcentral.
GAUGAACGCUAGCGGCAGGCUUAACACAUGCAAGUCGAGGGGCAGCAUGGUCUUCAGACUGAUGGCGACCGGCAAACGGGUGCGGAACACGUACAGAAUCUGCCUUUAUCUGGGGGAUAGCCUUUGGAAACGAAGAUUAAUACCCCAUAGUAUUAUUAGGUGGCAUCACCUUGAUAAUUAAAGAAUUUCGGAUAGAGAUGACUGUGCGUACUAUUGGCUAGUUGGUAGGGUAACGGCCUACCAAGGCUACGAUAGUUAGCUGAUGUGAGAGCAUGAUCAGCCACACGGGCACUGAGACACGGGCCCGACUCCUACGGGAGGCAGCAGUGAGGAAUAUUGGUCAAUGGGCGCAAGCCUGAACCAGCCAUGCCGCGUGAAGGAUGAAGGCGUUCUGCGUCGUAAACUUCUUUUACCUGGGAAGAAACCUACCUUUUCUAAGGUAGCCGACGGUACCAGAGGAAUAAGCACCGGCUAACUCCGUGCCAGCCGCCGCCGUAA